RNAcentral lists this unclassified non-coding RNA (2616 nucleotides) under Leishmania donovani. RNAcentral's name for it is "gene:LdHU3.36.5470(CDS-product:hypothetical_prote in_conserved)". The record is from RNAcentral. Lineage: Eukaryota; Euglenozoa; Kinetoplastea; Trypanosomatida; Trypanosomatidae.
UCGCCUGUCGGCCUGUGCGUGUGUGGCUUUCGUAGUGGCUAUCAAACUUUACCUGCCACCCAGUGCGUGAGGCCCCCGCCGCUUUCGCGCUCACAUCCGCAAACAAAGGAACCGCAAGAAAACACAGUGGCUUUUUUUUUUAGCACGCCUUAUAUUUCGAUCUCGCACAGCGUAUCUCGAAGACGGUUUCGCUGCCGCAACGAAGUUCUGUUCAUAUCGACGACUCCUGUGUUUUUUUCGGCAGGAGGGGUGAGGGAGGGUGAGGGCCUUCCUCGAGUUGGUUCGUUUCGCCCUCAUAUUAGCGCUUAUCGAAAACAGGUGAACGGAAUUGGUCACUGCACACUCUGUGGCCGUAUGUGGAGCGCCCUUUUGAGGCUCCUUGUGCUUCAUUACCUCCCUCCAUCCUUUUCCUCUUUUCACAGAUUUAUCCAACACCUCGCAAACGCGACGUGGCGCGUAUACCUCGAUUUCCUCGACGUGCUCCUUCACGGUUUGUGUCAACGCUUUUUUUUUUGUUUCGCCUGCACCACCUCUCCGCUUUGGUAGUUGGAGCGGAUGUGGUGCCUCAAGAGGGUGCCGCGCGGCCCCUCUCUCGCGCGGGGCUCGGCGGCAAUCGUCGGGAUGCCUCGUCGCUUUCGAGCAGUGCAGGAAGCAUCUGUACUGUGCUCGCUGACUGUCGUCGCACAUGGCCGUCGUACCCUCUCCACCGAGGAGCUGGUGGACGAGGAAACACAAUGGACGCGUGCGAUGGGCAGCAAGUACGGCUUUGGCAACUACCAGCUCUUCCGGGCGCUCUACAAGGACCUGUGUGACGAGAUCCGGCGCGAGUACUACACAAAGCCCCCGCCCCCACCACCCGCGACAAGGACCACAGGGGUCUCGCCUUCGCUAGCUGCGCCAGAAGCGUCACCCGAGGUGCACGGAGGCGCAGAUUCAGGUGCCAAUGACACUUCCUCCGGUGCCACAAAGCAUAGUAGUGUGGCAGGCGGCGCUGAUGCAACAUCAUCUUUAACGCAAGGAGGAGGGAUGCCAGCAGCUUCUCAGCGUGAGGACAGCACCGGCGAAACGGCGCGCGCAGCCCGGGAAACUGCGGCGACUCCUCCUUCGCAGCCGGAAGAAACAUAUGGGGAUGGCUCCUGGUCUGUGCAGCAUCGCCCUGAAGAUAACGUCGUUGUGUUUCAUCGGGGUGCCGUGAAGAGGGGCCGUCUUGCCGCCGUGCAUGCGUGGGCGCGCAUCGAGCUGAAGGACCCGCCGCGGCUGAACGCCGUGCUCACCUUUGCUGACUGGAUCCCGAUCGAGGUGUGCGUGGAGCGAAACGGUAUCGUCAUCCACUUCUCCAUGGCAUCGAACGAGGGCGGUAUGCACAUGCGCAACGUUCGGGUGUACGCACCAAAGUCGGCGGAGGAGCGCGCGGUGCUCCUGGACCCGUCUGACGACGGCGAGUACGCGCGGAAGAACUUCUACUAUGACGGGCCAUGCCUGUGGCACCUGGAGCUGGAUAUGCUGAACGAGCUUUACGAUGUUAUGCAAGACCAUGGCGUCACCCUUGACUGGAUUCGAUGGGCCGCUUCGUGGGUUUUCUACCUGGAGCACGUCAAUUACCUGCGGUGGAAUUUGGGAAUGCUAGAGGAGCUCAUUCCCUCUUCCCUGCGCGGCCCUGAGGAGGACUUCUUGUUGCCCGUGGAAAAGGCCCUGCUGGCGGAGCCUGUCGAAGACUGGCUCAGAGCCCACAGCAUCUAGCGAUGAGACGGCGAAGACAAAACCCACGUGCAAGCAUGCGUGCACGCGCGGAUGUGUGAGGCAGCGGCAUUGCGGAGGACAAAGAGUCAGCCUGCUGAGUGCUAGGUGGGUGGGUGGGUCGUAGGACACAACAGCAGCGUCGACGAGGUAGAAAGAAGGGUGGGGGUGGGGCAAGACUGCCGGUAUUGUUGGUAGCUGCAGCGGUCACACAAAGACGUCUCUUCACGCAAAAGAAAGAGGAGACCAACAAAAAGGAACGAGCUACAAGCGCACCCAGCGGAAGGCGGCGCGAGGCGCAGGCACAGAAGAGAGAAGAAAGAGGGACACGGAUGAGAGAGGCGACUCUUUUUUUUUUCGUGUAUGGUGGAGGGAGCACACGGGUGCAGAGGCGGCACGAGGUCGUGUGGGUUUGCGCGCAUGUGAGGGCUGUGCUGUUUCCCUUUUCUGCUGCUCGUGAUAGAGGCACAGAUCCGCUGCAGUCGAGCUCGCUCGGAUGCACACAGGGAAACGCAGAUACUCGCCUUCUUGUUCCGUCCGACCCACCUAUCUCAUCUCGUGCGCUUGUGUAUGUGUGUGUGUGGGGGGGGGGGCGGCGCACACGUUUUCGUUGUGCAUAACCUGUGUUUCUGCGGGCGCUUGGCCCAUCGACUUUUACAACUACUCCCUCUUAUCCCGCGUGUGCAUCCCCCGUGAUCCACAAGGCAGCGUUUUGCUCACUGCACCGCGGCUCUUCGCGUUCACGGGCUCGCACUGGGGUCAUGAUGCACUCGAUGCCUCUGAGUUGUCCCUGCUUGUUUUGUUUUUCCUUCUCCGUCUCGCUCACGUUCGACUGUUUCCGCAUGCAUUUCUCCUUCUUUUGAGCUCGCCCUUGAACAG